GUCUCUCUCGGGUCAAGUGAGUCUCUUUGAUCAUGAUUUGGUUAUAAAAUUUGAAUUUUUAUAUGUCUUGUUAUUGUUUGCAAGAACCCAAUUUGCUAAUUCUGGUUUUGAUUGUGUUCUGAUUCAUAGUGUAAUAAUCAUCUGUGUCUUUGACCAUGAUUUGGUUAUAAAGUUUGAAUUUUUAUAUGUCUUGUGAUUGUUUGCAAGAACCCAAUUUGUCAAUUCUGGUUUUGAUUGUGUUCUGAUUCAUAGUGUAAUGAUCAUCUGUGUCUUUGACCAUGAUUUAGUUAUAAAGUUUGAAUUUUUAUAUGUCUUGUGAUUGUUUGCAAGAACCCAAUUUGCCAAUUCUGAUUUUGAUUGUGUUCUGAUUCAUAGUGUCAUGAUCAUAUGUGUCUUUGACCAUGAUUUAGUUAUAAAGUUUGACUUUUUAUAUGUCUUGUGAUUGUUUGCAAGGACCCAAUUUGCCAAUUCUGGUUUUGAUUGUGUUCUGAUUCAUAGUGUCAUGAUCAUAUGUGUCUUUGACCAUGAUUUAGUUAUAAAUUUUGAAUUUUUAUAUGUCUUUUGAUUGUUUGCAUGAACCCAAUUUGCCAAUUCUGGUUUUGAUUGUGUUCUGAUUCAUAGUGUAAUAAUCAUCUGUGUCUUUGACUAUGAUUUG
RNAcentral lists this long non-coding RNA (655 nucleotides) under Capsella rubella. Its description in RNAcentral is "long non-coding RNA (CRUB_LNC003848)". Lineage: Eukaryota; Viridiplantae; Streptophyta; Magnoliopsida; Brassicales; Brassicaceae. The record is from RNAcentral.